This 494-nucleotide ribosomal RNA is filed under the name uncultured bacterium. RNAcentral's name for it is "partial 16S ribosomal RNA". It matches the Rfam family "Bacterial small subunit ribosomal RNA", at positions 28 to 507 of the family's 1533-position model. The record is from RNAcentral.
GACGAACGCUGGCGGCGCGCUUGACACAUGCAAGUCGAACGGAAAGGCCUGCUUUCCCUUGUGGAUUGCGGGUACUCGAGUGGCGAACGGGUGAGUAACACGUGAGUGAUCUGCCCCCAACUUGGGUAUAAGCCUGGGAAACUGGGUCUAAUUCCCGAUAGGACUGCAGGGUGGUGCCUGUGGUGGAAAACGAUUUUCUAGUGGUUGGGGAUGAGCUCGCGGCCUAUCAGCUUGUUGGUGGGGUAAUGGCCUACCAAGGCGGCGACGGGUAGCCGGCCUGAGAGGGUGGACGGCCACAUUGGGACUGAGAUACGGCCCAGACUCCUACGGGAGGCAGCAGUGGGGAAUAUUGCACAAUGGGCGGAAGCCUGAUGCAGCGACGCCGCGUGGGGGAUGACGGCCUUCGGGUUGUGAACUCCUUUCGACCGCGAGGAAGCCACCUGGUUGGAAGGGUGGUGACGGUAGUGGUAGAAGAAGCACCGGCUAACUACGUG